CUUAGCAUGAAGUCAGACAA
This 20-nucleotide ribosomal RNA is filed under the name Symbiodinium sp. B7. RNAcentral's name for it is "partial 24S large subunit ribosomal RNA". The record is from RNAcentral. Lineage: Eukaryota; Dinophyceae; Suessiales; Symbiodiniaceae.